AUACAUAAAAAUAAUGUCUGAUAAUCAAAUGUGAAUGACUUAACUACAAUCAACAAAGGAAGAAUCCAGAGAGAAUAAACAUAGAGAAAGGACUCAUGACAGAAAAGGACAUUCAUCACAAUAGAAGGAACAGAAUCAGAAUGCAGAUUGAAACCUACCACCGUUCACUUGACUUUCUCCAUGAAUUUUUCUCUAGUAUGAGCUAUAUGUCUUGUUUCAUAACAUGAUAAACAGGAAAUAUGUAUUCUUUGAUAAUAUAUGUACAAUUUCUAUCAUAUUGCCUGCCUUCUUGGGGAGGAAGAAGGGAUGGGAGAGAAGAAAAAAAAAUGAGACAUAGCUUUUUGGACAUAGCUAAUAAUCAAUGAUGAGCUAAAGAAUUUCAAGAAGAGGGCAACCAGGAUGGCCAAAGGUUUCAAGAUCAAGACAAGUGAGAUGUGAUGGAUGGAAAAUGGGAAGUUUAGCCCCGGGUCUCAGGGGGUCCAUGGCAACCCUCUUCAAGUACUUGAAAGACUAUUAUGUGGAAACAUGAAUAGAUUUGAUUGAUUGGCUCCAAGAAGAAAAUCAGCACAACAAUCAUCAACAUCAUACACAUAAUUUUCUCAGCCAUUCCCUAGCUGAUGGACAUCCCGUCAUUUUCCGAUUCUUUUCCACUACAAAAGGAGCUUCUAAAAAUAUGUUCAUACAAGAAGAGUCUAAAAAUGAACAUUGAUAACGGGGAAGGCAUUCGAAGGAGGACAACUACAGUGGGAAGGAACUCCUAAUCCCCUGCUAAAUACAAAUGGGUUGUGGGCAUCAGGAAUGAGUAUCACAGAGAAGACCAGACUUGAGGGAAGAGAAGAAGAUGUCAUCGUUGUGUUCAAGUAUUUGGAAAACUGUCUUUUGGAACAAGGACUAGCUUAAUUCUAUUGGGCAGAAACAGGAAAAAUGGGUGAAUGCUACAAGGAGAGGGGGAAAGAGUAUUUUUAAUAAAUCAUUAACAAUUAGAACUGUCCA
This 993-nucleotide long non-coding RNA is filed under the name Monodelphis domestica (gray short-tailed opossum). RNAcentral describes it as "lncRNA (ENSMODG00000048490.1)". The record is from RNAcentral. Lineage: Eukaryota; Metazoa; Chordata; Mammalia; Didelphimorphia; Didelphidae.